CCUACGGGUGGCAGCAGUAGGGAAUUUUCGGCAAUGGGGGGAACCCUGACCGAGCAACGCCGCGUGAACGAAGAAGUUAUUCGUAAUGUAAAGUUCUUUUAACAGGGAAGAAAGAGCAAUUUGACGGUACCUGACGAAUAAGCUCCGGCUAACUACGUGCCAGCAGCCGCGUUAAUACGUAGGGGGCGGGCGUUAUCUGGAAUUAUUGGGCGAAAAGGGUGGGUAGAUGGCAUAGUACGUCUUUGGUAAAAAUGCUGGGCUAAACCCAGUAGGGCAAAAGAUACUGCAAAGCUAGAGUAUGAAAGAGGCAAGUGGAACUACAUGUGUAGCGGUAAAAUGCGUAAAUAUAUGUAAGAACACCAGUGGCGAAGGCGGCUUGCUGGGUCGAUACUGACAUUGAGGCACGAAAGCGUGGGGAGCAAACAGGAUUAGAUACCCUAGUAGUC
Molecule: ribosomal RNA, 446 nt
Filed under: uncultured bacterium
Lineage: Bacteria
Description: partial 16S ribosomal RNA
Rfam family: Bacterial small subunit ribosomal RNA
Source: RNAcentral